This 104-nucleotide non-coding RNA is filed under the name Fictibacillus macauensis. RNAcentral's name for it is "Azaaromatic sequence". It matches the Rfam family "azaaromatic riboswitch aptamer (yjdF RNA)". RNAcentral also lists the same sequence under 1 other name. The record is from RNAcentral. Lineage: Bacteria; Bacillati; Bacillota; Bacilli; Caryophanales; Fictibacillaceae.
UAUUGGAAAUGAAAAAUCACAGCCUGGUUGGUAGUCCAGGCGCGUAGAUCUCUCUACGCUAGUAGCCUUCCCCCCUCGGGAUGUCCAUUAUUUCCUUUUAUUUA